Molecule: ribosomal RNA, 468 nt
Filed under: uncultured bacterium
Lineage: Bacteria
Description: partial 16S ribosomal RNA
Rfam family: Bacterial small subunit ribosomal RNA
Source: RNAcentral
GACGAACGCUGGCGGCGUGCUUAACACAUGCAAGUCGAACGGAAAGGCCCUGCUUUUGUGGGGUGCUCGAGUGGCGAACGGGUGAGUAACACGUGAGUAACCUGCCCUUGACUUUGGGAUAACUUCAGGAAACUGGGGCUAAUACCGGAUAGGAGCUCCUGCUGCAUGGUGGGGGUUGGAAAGUUUCGGCGGUUGGGGAUGGACUCGCGGCUUAUCAGCUUGUUGGUGGGGUAGUGGCUUACCAAGGCUUUGACGGGUAGCCGGCCUGAGAGGGUGACCGGCGACAUUGGGACUGAGAGACGGCCCAGACUGCUACGGGAGGCAGCAGUGGGGAAUAUUGUACAAUGGGCGGAAGCCUGAUGCAGCAACGCCGCGUGCGGGAUGACGGCCUUCGGGGUGUAAACCGCUGUCGCCUGUGACGAAGCGGGAGUGACGGUAAUGGGUAAAGAAGCACCGGCUAACUACGUG